CCUGGCUGGGCUGUGUGGGGUCCCCAGGAGGUGCUGUCUGGUGGGAAGUGUCUCUGAGCUGGAGGAGGAGGAGGAGAAGGGCUGAUGGAAGAGCAGCAGGCACUGAAAAGCUGCUCGAUGCCUCUGAGUCUGGUUGACAGAUUUAUGAAGAGGUUCAGAGAUGGUUUGGUUCAUCCCAGGGGAAAUCUCCACCAGACUGACAGAGUCUGGAGACCAGUUCAAUCUGACUUUUUUCUACAAGCACAACAAGGGGAAAUUCUGAGGGACCGAAGAAAAAAGUAGUGAUUUUGGAAAUGUCAGAAUAUUUGAACAGGUUUUGAUUGACAUGAAGAUCUCAGCCUUGUCAAAAUGGAAAUGUUGCUUUUGUGUUUGCUGCAAGACCAGGGCCCAGGGCUCACCUCUGCU
Molecule: long non-coding RNA, 405 nt
Organism: Chiroxiphia lanceolata (lance-tailed manakin)
Lineage: Eukaryota; Metazoa; Chordata; Aves; Passeriformes; Pipridae
Exons: 3
Source: RefSeq, a predicted model, not a curated record